CCUACGGGAGGCAGCAGUGGGGAAUUUUGGACAAUGGGCGCAAGCCUGAUCCAGCAAUGCCGCGUGCAGGAUGAAGGCCUUCGGGUUGUAAACUGCUUUUGUACGGAACGAAACGGCGAGCUCUAAUAAAGUUCGCUAAUGACGGUACCGUAAGAAUAAGCACCGGCUAACUACGUGCCAGCAGCCGCGGUAAUACGUAGGGUGCAAGCGUUAAUCGGAAUUACUGGGCGUAAAGCGUGCGCAGGCGGUGAUGUAAGACAGAUGUGAAAUCCCCGGGCUCAACCUGGGACCUGCAUUUGUGACUGCAUCGCUAGAGUACGGUAGAGGGGGAUGGAAUUCCGCGUGUAGCAGUGAAAUGCGUAGAUAUGCGGAGGAACACCGAUGGCGAAGGCAAUCCCCUGGACCUGUACUGACGCUCAUGCACGAAAGCGUGGGGAGCAAACAGGAUUAGAUACCCUGGUAGUCCACGCCCUAAACGAUGUCAACUGGUUGUUGGGUCUUCACUGACUCAGUAACGAAGCUAACGCGUGAAGUUGACCGCCUGGGGAGUACGGCCGCGAAGGUUGAAACGUCAAAUGAAAUUGACGGNGUGAGAGNGCGACGGACGACGACGAGGGAGGAGG
RNAcentral lists this ribosomal RNA (623 nucleotides) under uncultured bacterium. RNAcentral describes it as "bacterial SSU rRNA". It matches the Rfam family "Bacterial small subunit ribosomal RNA", at positions 338 to 954 of the family's 1533-position model. The record is from RNAcentral.